AAAAGCUUUCUUUAAUUGAAUAAUUGAAUUUAAUUUUUUAGUGCAAAAGCAAAAAUAAAAAUUAGGGACAAGAAGACCCUAUGAAUUUUUUAUUAAAUUUUAUAAAACUUUAUAUAAAAUUUAAUUUAAUUGGGGUGAUGGAAAAAGAAUAAAUAUCUUUUUUUUAAAAAAAAAUUGGUUCCGUUUUUAGCGAUUAAAUGAAAAAAAUACUCUAGGGAUAACAGCGUAAUAAUUUUGGAUAGUUCAUAUAGAUAAAAUAGUUUGCGACCUCGAUGUUGGAUUAGGAUUCUUUUUUGGUGAAGAAGUUAAAAAAAGAAGUUUGUUCAACUUAUAAUUUCCUACUUGAUCUGAGUUCAGACCGG
Molecule: ribosomal RNA, 362 nt
Filed under: Ixodes ricinus (castor bean tick)
Lineage: Eukaryota; Metazoa; Arthropoda; Arachnida; Ixodida; Ixodidae
Description: partial 16S ribosomal RNA
Rfam family: Bacterial large subunit ribosomal RNA (bases 66-362)
Source: RNAcentral